AGCGAACGCUGGCGGCAGGCCUAACACAUGCAAGUCGAACGGACCCUUCGGGGUUAGUGGCGGACGGGUGAGUAACACGUGGGAACGUGCCUUUAGGUUCGGAAUAGCUCCUGGAAACGGGUGGUAAUGCCGAAUGUGCCCUUCGGGGGAAAGAUUUAUCGCCUUUAGAGCGGCCCGCGUCUGAUUAGCUAGUUGGUGAGGUAACGGCUCACCAAGGCGACGAUCAGUAGCUGGUCUGAGAGGAUGACCAGCCACACUGGGACUGAGACACGGCCCAGACUCCUACGGGAGGCAGCAGUGGGGAAUCUUGCGCAAUGGGCGAAAGCCUGACGCAGCCAUGCCGCGUGAAUGAUGAAGGCCUUAGGAUUGUAAAAUUCUUUCACCGGGGACGAUAAUGACGGUACCCGGAGAAGAAGCCCCGGCUAACUUCGUG
RNAcentral lists this ribosomal RNA (433 nucleotides) under uncultured bacterium. Its description in RNAcentral is "partial 16S ribosomal RNA". It matches the Rfam family "Bacterial small subunit ribosomal RNA", at positions 29 to 507 of the family's 1533-position model. The record is from RNAcentral.